RNAcentral lists this ribosomal RNA (441 nucleotides) under uncultured bacterium. Its description in RNAcentral is "partial 16S ribosomal RNA". It matches the Rfam family "Bacterial small subunit ribosomal RNA", at positions 338 to 795 of the family's 1533-position model. The record is from RNAcentral.
CCUACGGGAGGCAGCAGUGGGGAAUAUUGCACAAUGGAGGAAACCCUGAUGCAGCGACGCCGCGUGCGUGAAGAAGUCUUUCUGGAUGUAAAGCUCUAUCAGCAGGGGAGAAGAAGGACGUUACCUGACUCCGCAGCCCCGGCUAACUACGUGCCAGCAGCCGCGGUAAGACGUAGGGGGCAAGCGUUAUCCGGAUUUACUGGGUGUACAGGGGGCGUAGACGGCUGUGCAAGUCUGAAGUGAAAGCCCAGGGCUCAACCCUGGGACUGCGUUGGAAACUGUGGAACUAGAGUGCUGGAGAGGUAAGUGGAAUUCCUAGUGUAGCGGUGAAAUGCGUAGAUAUCAGGAGGAACACCAGUGGCGAAGGCGGCUUACUGGACAGUAACUGACGUUGAGGCUCGAAAGCGUGGGGAGCAAACAGGAUUAGAUACCCGAGUAGUC